Molecule: long non-coding RNA, 2803 nt
Filed under: Nicotiana tabacum (common tobacco)
Lineage: Eukaryota; Viridiplantae; Streptophyta; Magnoliopsida; Solanales; Solanaceae
Description: long non-coding RNA (NTAB_LNC010166)
Source: RNAcentral
AUUCCUAAGACAUUUUAGAUUCUUCUGCAAUAUAAAUGAAUAGUUUAGGAAUCAGAGAACAGUAUUUGGCAAUGUACUCCCAAAAUGACAAAGCAACCUGUGAUCUCAAUUCAAGAGCACUUAAGCUGUAAGUAAUCCAGUAGGUCAGGCUUCAUAUUUCAAUCUUACAACCCCUAAUGAAGCAGUGGCAUCCAACAGGUAAUACAACUCACCCUAUUAUUGAAAACUAUAAGAUAUAAACCCAUAAUUUUCAUCUAAUAAGUAUCAUAAUUUACUGUAUCAAAGUACAGAUCAACUGAAAAUGUGCAGAUUAAUGCUCCUAGAAUAGCAAAUAUGUUUCUUCAAGAAAUCUGAAAGGUUCAUGUAUUUCAGGUCCCAAGCCAACUUUUGUGGAAGUAUAGAAUCAUCGACGCAUCAGUUGGGUAGACGGUAUUCAAUUCAUAUCCCUGUGCUCCUAGCUCCUCACAACUUACUUCAUCUAUCAAAAGGUACUAUGUCAUAGAAUAAAUCAAAAUGCACAUUUAAAACACGUUAAAACACAAAUUCAGAUGCAAUAGUGCAAAUGUAAUUAUUUUAGCAAGAAGUGAAACAUCCGAUAUUAUGAACAUGAAUAGCAUUUAGCACCACCAGCGUUAAAUUUAUGAACAUGAUAUGAUGCAGACCUAAAAGCAGUCCAUGGAGGAAUGUGUAUUAUCCAAAACAUGAAUAUAUUUCAACAUGUAAGGUUUAUCUUACUUGACAUGCAACCAAAUAAUUUCUUUUUUAUAUUAAUCAAUCUUCUCUGCUUGCCUUUAUAUCUCUUCCAUUUGCUCUGCUUGCCUUUAUAUCUCUUCAUCAAUAGUAUUUAGUACUUGUCCUGAGCUAAUAGUCAUGCUCGUUAUAUUUGAAAAUAAGUCAAGAGGCAUUAAAAAUAUAUUGACUUGCUUUGGCUUCUAGCAAAUAGUAAUCAGGUUCACAAUAAUCUCUAAUUACAUAGGAGUAUACAGAAGAAAAGUAAAAUAUAACAAUUAAGUAAAGGAUACAAACAAUAAGCAUUGAACAAAGAAAACUUAUAUUUUUAUUGUCACAAGCAAUCAUAUCUCCAAUAAUCAUAUCUCCAAUAGAUACCUGAAGGAUAAUCAGCAACUUCAGAAGGGAGCAAGAGCAAGACAAGUUGUUGCAAUGAUAUGAUGAUCUAUAAUCAAGCAUCAAUGGUUUAGAACAUAAAAGUAAAGUAAGAUAUCAAUAUUUUAAGUCAUUAAUAGUCAUAUCAUUUAAGGAGUAUUAUAUAAAUUGAGAACACAUCGAUCAUAUAGCCGGCAGAAGGAUACAUAACAAAAGCCAACAAAAUCACUUUAACAGUAUUGAUUUAAUGAAAAGACAUGUGCGAAAGAAGAGAAGCCAAUAACUUAUGUUCUGUUUUCUGUAAAAGCUUUUGUUCAACUGUUCUACACAAAAAAGAGACAAAAAAAUAUAACAUUACUCCACUAAAGUCCAAAGACAGUUAAAACUGAUGGACCACUCAUUAUAUUGAGAACUUGUAAAAUAAUAGAAAGAAAAUUUGAAUUUGUCAAUCACGUUUUCUUUUUUCAGUAUGCUCUUGGGCAAAAGAUAUUUAUGCAUAUACGGAAUAUAGCUUUAUCUUUGAUAAUGCUGCAUCAAUAGUAUGAAAGCAGUAUGAAAGAUCAAGAUGUGUAUUUAUGGUUAUUAAAGAUCUAGCAUUUGAAGCUUGAUAAACAUAAAGAACCCGUGAUACCUUUCUUUUUCCAUAUAAACUCAUUAUUUAUUUGCGCGUCAAAGUGAAAGCCUUUCUCAUGCCUUCUAUAGCUUUCUUGAAUAUUACCCUCGUAGCCUUUCUCAUGCCUUAUAUAAUUUUCUUAAAUAUCAUUCUCUUCUUCUCUCACCAAUUUAUAAAAUUUUAUGUAAACUAUUUCUUCUACUCACACCACAGGGAGUCAAAAUUAAGACUACACCACCGUGUGCAAAUUUCAUAUUCAUAGUUCCAAGCAAAGCCUCAAAUGAAUGCACAUUGAUAAGAUACAAACUACCGAAAUGAACUGGAGCUUCUAGUUAAAGGCAGAAAAAAGAAUUGCACAAAAAGAAAAGUAAAGCCCAAUGCCGAAGCACUUUACUGCAUCAAUCGAACAAAUUUCUCAUUUUCUCCUCUUUAGUCCUCCUAGACCCCAUUUGUGGGAACUCAUUGACUUUGAUUUUGCUCCUCCUUAGUCCCAUAUAUGUCCCUACUACUACUACUACUAUCAAAAUCAACUUAAAAUACCUUACAGGAAAUAGAUCAAACUCUAUAAUUGGUAUCCAUAAUUUGUAAUUUUAUACUCACCUGGGCAUAUAGACAUCAGAAGUAAGAUUGGAUCUUCCACCGCACCAUCUUUCCGAACCCAAUUGAAGUAAGCUGUUGAUGUUUUACAUACAUUGACUAAUUUCUAUCAAAGAGCCGAAGACAAAAUUGGAAAUUAAAACUCAAAAUAAACACAAGAAGUGAAGAACAGAAGGACGGUAAACAUUUACCUGUUGUCGUAGGUCGUAGGAAUGUAUUCAAUCUGAAAUCACCCUAAUCCGCCUUUGAAUUUUGAUAACCAAAUCUUCCAUUAUCCUGCCGCAAACGAUUCGCCCUAUGAGGCUGAAAUCUUCAACUAAUAAAAAAAAAUCAACUAUUCGUGGUAAUUUAGAAUAGAGGAGAAGGCUCUGAAAGGGCGUUGUAUAGAAGGGCGAAAGGCAUCUGCGACAGGAGCGAGAGAGUUGAAUAGCAAAGGCCUUGCAAGCAAUUUCAGUUACAAAAAGGAUUGAAGAGAAGAACGCGACGUUU